AUUGGAGGACAAACAGUUUUCGACCGUGUGGUGUCGUGUCAUGUGGUGGCAAUGCUGGUAUAAUGUGCCAUUCAAGUUCUACAGUACUGGACAUUCUAUCAUUUACACGCGUCAAACUGGUCAACACAGUCGCCCUCGGUACCAGCCCAAAGGUAUCUCAGAAUGUGUGUCAAAGUUCUUACCGGUGGAGUGGGAGCAUGCAGGUGAUGGAGAGGCAACUCAGCAACUGUGUACUGAUUGUUCAAGUACUGUGGAGAAGAAAGAGGAAUAUGAUAUAAUUUAAAAAAAAUUGUGUUUUCUUUUUUAAUUGAUUUGUCCAGCCUUACCUGCUUGUUAGCAUGCUCGUUUCCUGUCAUUUGGCUGGACAGCGACUGGUCGUUGAGGUCUGCUGAAUAGGUUAGCUGGUCGCCCAGGUAGCCUAUACCAUCUUCUGUUAACAGGGUUAACAUUGGCAGCUCUUCUGGGUCAACGAGUGGGGGUGGUGGUGAAAGAUUUAGAUGGUUGUCCAGGACGUCCAUCUCCACCAUGGGUUCCAGAAGCGGCAUCAGGAGCUCGUACCAUUUCACCUCCUCUCCAGUAGCCUCUCUUAGCGUCAGCUCCAUGCUGGUGCAAAGAUGGAGAAUGCUGUAAAACAACCAGAAAAAGAAGUUUAAACCUCCACAUUUGAAUAAAAGGUCCAAGCAUCUACUCCUAAGAUGUCCUCUUACAAUUUUAUAUCACCUAUUCUAUCACUAUUAGUUAACUUAAUUAAAUCACCUGUAUCCCAUUGACUACAGUAACUUAUUUUUUAAACUUCAAACAGCCAAAAUAAUUAUACUCACAUAGAGGAAUAUCCAAAUGUCUGCAAAUCAAACUAACUUUGCUCAACUCUACGUUUUGCUUUAGAUGCUCCAACCAACAAGU
Molecule: long non-coding RNA, 903 nt
Organism: Nerophis lumbriciformis (worm pipefish)
Lineage: Eukaryota; Metazoa; Chordata; Actinopteri; Syngnathiformes; Syngnathidae
Source: RefSeq, a predicted model, not a curated record